GUCCUGGGAUGGGAAUCGAACACACAGUGUUCCGCUUACCGGGCAGAUGCCAUGUCCACUAGGCUACCCUGGA
Molecule: transfer RNA, 73 nt
Filed under: Cordylochernes scorpioides
Lineage: Eukaryota; Metazoa; Arthropoda; Arachnida; Pseudoscorpiones; Chernetidae
Description: tRNA-Thr
Source: RNAcentral